UGGAGGAAAGUAGGGGAUCGCAAGACCUUGCGCUYUUGGAGCGGCCGAUGUCUGAUUAGCUAGUUGGUGAGGUAAAGGCUUACCAAGGCGACGAUCAGUAGCUGGUCUGAGAGGACGACCAGCCACACUGGGACUGAGACACGGCCCAGACUCCUACGGGAGGCAGCAGUGGGGAAUUUUGGACAAUGGGGGAAACCCUGAUCCAGCCAUGCCGCGUGAGUGAAGAAGGCCUUCGGGUUGUAAAGCUCUUUCAGCCGGAACGAAACGGUCACGGCUAAUACCUGUGACYACUGACGGUACCGGAAGAAGAAGCACCGGCUAACUACGUGCCAGCAGCCGCGGUAAUACGUAGGGUGCAAGCGUUAAUCGGAAUUACUGGGCGUAAAGCGUGCGCAGGCGGUUUUGUAAGUCAGAUGUGAAAUCCCCGGGCUUAACCUGGGAACUGCGUUUGAAACUACCAAAAGCUAGA
RNAcentral lists this ribosomal RNA (469 nucleotides) under uncultured beta proteobacterium. Its description in RNAcentral is "bacterial SSU rRNA". It matches the Rfam family "Bacterial small subunit ribosomal RNA", at positions 197 to 645 of the family's 1533-position model. Lineage: Bacteria; Pseudomonadati; Pseudomonadota; Betaproteobacteria. The record is from RNAcentral.